RNAcentral lists this long non-coding RNA (740 nucleotides) under Ursus americanus (American black bear). Its description in RNAcentral is "lncRNA (ENSUAMG00000005790.1)". The record is from RNAcentral. Lineage: Eukaryota; Metazoa; Chordata; Mammalia; Carnivora; Ursidae.
CUCACUUCCCGCUCCGCCCUGCGUGGGAGGUAGGUUUUGCACCCCGUUGGCCUUCAGCCCGGCGCUCAGCCCCGGGGGUUUCGAACUUCCCGGGCUGGUCGGGGAUCGCGGCGCCUCCUCCCCGCCGAAGCUGCCGGAACAAACACUGCUCUUUCUCCAGAGGAGAAACGUGUACGCAGUGGUGGAAAACGGCCGCAGUGCCCUCUUCUCACUGACCUGGUGAUUGCGGGCCGCUCUGGUCAUCUUUCUUGGGACCCUUUCUGUCUUCAUGAGCGGAAAAUUGAGGAGGCAAGGAUGGUGGCUGGGUUACUGAUGGAUCCUUCUCAGGUAAGUGGAAAGCUGACCUUUCUUCAGAAUAGGCUUAUUUGUCAGGUGGCCGUAUCUCCUUGUAAUGUCCCCAGGCUUCUUACAGCGAUUAAUGACCCUGCUUAAGCAAUGAGUCUCAGGUCAAUUUCUUCAGGACUCAUGCCAUCUCAGAAUAUAUAGGGAUUACACUGGGUAUGAUUCUUUUAUCUCAGUAUUCAUUAAUUCUUUCUGAUCCUCAGUCUUGCUUGUUGGCUUAUCGUUUUGCUAAGUGUUACGAUAGAUACCGAGGAGUGAUAUGAAGGUAUCUAAUCUCAUGGAAUGUGUGUGUUACUACGGAAAUAAUUCAUCUGUUAGUAGAUUUUACAGUGUUGCACUGUGUUCAGUGCUAACUACAGCUUAUAAGUAGAGGACGAAUAAAGCAAGAAGAGCCCACA